GCAUCACACACACUCACACACACACACACACACACAGUUUCACAGUACACUGCUUUAUAGUAUUACAGAAACCAUACCUAUAUUUUGAUGUGACUACUCUCUCUCUCUUUCUCUGAGAGGUAGAAGGAGGUAGUGAGUAAAAGUAUGAUAGAGCGAAGUAGUGUGAGAUAUAGUGAGGCAAAGUAGGGUAAAAUAAGGUAGUGGGAGGUAGAGCAAAGUACAGUAAGAUAGUGUAAAAUGAUCAUUGUAUUUAGUAUGCAUUGUAGCAAAUAUGUGGUAUAAGGUGUACGUAUUAAUUAUUACAUUAAGCACAUUGUACUUAGUAAGUAACACCAUUAGAAUGUAUGUUAAUAGGUAUGUCAUUUGAAAUUAAUAUGUAAGGUAAGGUAAGGUAGAGUGAGGUAGAGUAAGAAAAAAUAAGGUAGAGGAGGGUAGAGGAAAAGUUAGGUAGAGUAAAGAAGAGGAAGGUAGAGGGAGUAGAGUGAGUUAGAGCGAGAUAGAGAGAGUUAGAGUAAGUAAGCGUGUGAUAGAGCAAGGUAGAAGGAUGUAGAGUGAGGCAGACUAUUGUAAAGUGAGGUAGAGUAUAGUAGAGCAAGGUAAAGUAAGGUAGAGUAUAGUAGAGUGAGGUAAAGUAAGGUAGAGUAUAGCAGAGUAAGGUAAAGUGAAGUAGAGUAUAGUAGAGUAAGGUAAAGUGAGGUAGAGUGUAGUAGAGUAAGGUAAAGUGAGGUAGAGUGUAGUAGAGUAAGGUAAAGUGAGGUAGAGUGUAGUAGAGUAAGGUAAAGUAAGGUAGAGUAUAGUAGAGCAAGGUAAAGUAAGGUAGAGUAUAGUAGAGUGAGGUAGAGUAUAGUAGAGUAAGGUAAAGUAAGGUAGAGUAUAGUAGAGCAAGGUAAAGUAAGGUAGAGUAUAGUAGAGUGAGGUAAAGUAAGGUAGAGUAUAGCAGAGUAAGGUAAAGUGAAGUAGAGUAUAGUAGAGUAAGGUAAAGUAAGGUAGAGUAUAGUAGAGGGAGGUAAAGUAAGGUAGAGUAUAGUAGAGUAAGGUAAAGUGAAGUAGAGUAAGGUAAAGUAAGGUAGAGUAUAGUAGAGGGAGGUAAAGUAGGGUAGAGUAUAGUAGAAUGUGGUAUAGUAAGGUAGAGUAUAGUAGAGCAAGGUAAAGUGAAGUAGAGUAUAGUAGAGUAAGGUAAAGUAAGGUAGAGUAUAGUAGAGGGAGGUAAAGUAAGGUAGAGUAUAGUAGAGUAAGGCAUAGUGAGGUGGAGUAUAGUAGAUUAAGGUAAAGUGAAGUAGAAUAUAGUAGAGUAGGGUAAAGUGAGGUAGAGUAUAGUAGAGUAGGGUAAAGUGAGGUAGAGUAUAGUAGAGCAAGGUAAAGUGAAGUAGAGUAUAGUAGAGUAAGGUAAAGUAAGGUAGAGUAUAGUAGAGGGAGGUAAAGUAAGGUAGAGUAUAGUAGAGGGAGGUAAAGUGAAGUAGAGUAUAGUAGAGUAAGGUAAAGUAAGGUAGAGUAUAGUAGAGGGAGGUAAAGUAAGGUAGAGUAUAGUAGAGGGAGGUAAAGUAAGGUAGAGUAUAGUAGAGUAAGGCAUAGUGAGGUGGAGUAUAGUAGAUUAAGGUAAAGUGAAGUAGAGUAUAGUAGAGGGAGGUAAAGUGAGGUAGAGUAUAGUAGAGUAAGGCAUAGUGAGGUGGAGUAUAGUAGAUUAAGGUAAAGUGAAGUAGAGUAUAGUAGAGGGAGGUAAAGUGAGGUAGAGUAUAGUAGAGUAAGGUAAAGUAAGGUAGAGUAUAGUAGAGUAAGGUAAAGUAAGGAAGAGUAUAGUAGAGUUUGGUAAAGU
Long non-coding RNA from Astyanax mexicanus (Mexican tetra), 1813 nucleotides. RefSeq lists it as uncharacterized. The record is from RefSeq and is a predicted model, not a curated record. NCBI's taxonomy places the organism in Eukaryota, Metazoa, Chordata, Actinopteri, Characiformes, Acestrorhamphidae. The transcript has 6 exons.